CAGCCGCCGCGGGAAUACGAAGGGGGCUAGCGUUGCUCGGAAUGACUGGGCGUAAAGGGCGCGUAGGCGGUUUGCACAGUCGGGUGUGAAAUUCCUGGGCUUAACCUGGGGACUGCAUUCGAGACGUGUAGGCUUGAGUGGGGAAGAGGGUCGUGGAAUUCCCAGUGUAGAGGUGAAAUUCGUAGAUAUUGGGAAGAACACCGGUGGCGAAGGCGGCGACCUGGUCCUUUACCGACGCUGAGGCGCGAAAGCGUGGGGAGCAAACAGGAUUAGAUACCCCGGUAGUCCCUGUCUCUUAUAA
This 301-nucleotide ribosomal RNA is filed under the name uncultured bacterium. RNAcentral's name for it is "partial 16S ribosomal RNA". It matches the Rfam family "Bacterial small subunit ribosomal RNA", at positions 509 to 809 of the family's 1533-position model. The record is from RNAcentral.